This 549-nucleotide ribosomal RNA is filed under the name Tetracladium sp. PDD-26b-32. RNAcentral describes it as "eukaryotic LSU rRNA". It matches the Rfam family "Eukaryotic large subunit ribosomal RNA", at positions 80 to 644 of the family's 3401-position model. The record is from RNAcentral. Lineage: Eukaryota; Fungi; Ascomycota; Leotiomycetes; Helotiales.
UCAGUAACGGCGAGUGAAGCGGCAAAAGCUCAAAUUUGAAAUCUGGCUCUUUCAGGGCCCGAGUUGUAAUUUGUAGAAGAUGCUUUGGGUGUGGCUCCGGUUUAAGUUCUUUGGAAUAUUACAUCAUAGAGGGUGAGAAUCCCGUAUGUGACCGGUCGCCGCCCCCGUGUAAAGCUCUUUCAACGAGUCGAGUUGUUUGGGAAUGCAGCUCAAAAUGGGAGGUAUAUUUCUUCUAAAGCUAAAUAUUGGCCAGAGACCGAUAGCGCACAAGUAGAGUGAUCGAAAGAUGAAAAGCACUUUGGAAAGAGAGUUAAACAGUACGUGAAAUUGUUGAAAGGGAAGCGCUUGCAACCAGACUUGCACGCAGUUGAUCAUCCGGUGUUCUCACCGGGGCACUCUGCUGCGUUCAGGCCAGCAUCGGUUUUGGUGGUUGGAUAAAGACCUUGGGAAUGUAGCUUCUUUCGGGGAGUGUUAUAGCCCUCGGUGCAAUGCAGCCUACCGGGACCGAGGACCGCGCUUCGGCUAGGAUGCUGGCGUAAUGGUUGUAAG